This 522-nucleotide ribosomal RNA is filed under the name Sphecoctonus poliorcetus. Its description in RNAcentral is "partial 16S large subunit ribosomal RNA". The stretch from base 387 to 522 matches the Rfam family "Archaeal large subunit ribosomal RNA", at positions 2542 to 2677 of the family's 2987-position model. The record is from RNAcentral. Lineage: Eukaryota; Metazoa; Arthropoda; Insecta; Hymenoptera; Ichneumonidae.
CAUGUCUUUUUGAAUAUAAUUUAAAGUCUAAUCUGCUCCAUGAAAAUUUAAAUAGCUGCAGAAUAUUAACUGUACAAAGGUAGCAUAGUCAAUAGUUUUUUAAUUGAAAGCUGGUAUGAAUGAUUUGAUAAGGUAAUUAUUGUCUCAAAUUUAAUAAUAUUAAAAUUUUUAUUUUAGUAAAAAUACUGAAAUGAAUUUAAAAGACGAGAAGACCCUAUAGAUUUUUAUAAUUUAUAUUAAAAAUAUUUAAAUAAAUUAAUAAGUUUUAAUAAAAAAAUUAUUUGAUUGGGGAAAUUAUUAAAUUAAAUAAAUUUUAAUUAUAUAUUAACAAUAAUUUUUGAAUAAUUGAUCUUUUAAUUAAAAUUAAUAGAAUAAAUUACCUUAGGGAUAACAGCGUAAUUUUUUUGGAGAGUCCUAAUUGAUAAAAAAGUUUGCGACCUCGAUGUUGAAUUAAGAUAAAAUUUUAAUGAAGAAGUUAAAUAAUUUUAGUCUGUUCGACUAUUAAUAUCUUACGUGAUCUGA